GUCCAGACUCCUACGGGAGGCAGUAGUGGGGGAUAUUGCACAAUGGGGGGAACCCUGAUGCAGCGACGCCGCGUGGGUGAAGAAGCGCCUCGGCGCGUAAAGCCCUGUCAGCAGGGAAGAAAGUGACGGUACCUGAAGAAGAAGCCCCGGCUAACUACGUGCCAGCAGCCGCGGUAAUACGUAGGGGGCAAGCGUUAUCCGGAUUUACUGGGUGUAAAGGGAGCGUAGACGGCCAGACAAGUCAGAAGUGAAAGCCCAGGGCUCAACCCUGGGACUGCUUUUGAAACUGCCGGGCUGGAGUGCAGGAGAGGUAAGCGGAAUUCCUAGUGUAGCGGUGAAAUGCGUAGAUAUUAGGAGGAACACCAGUGGCGAAGGCGGCUUACUGGACUGUAACUGACGUUGAGGCUCGAAAGCGUGGGGAGCAAACAGGAUUAGAUACCCCAGUAUC
This 448-nucleotide ribosomal RNA is filed under the name uncultured bacterium. Its description in RNAcentral is "partial 16S ribosomal RNA". It matches the Rfam family "Bacterial small subunit ribosomal RNA", at positions 329 to 794 of the family's 1533-position model. The record is from RNAcentral.